This 301-nucleotide ribosomal RNA is filed under the name uncultured bacterium. RNAcentral's name for it is "partial 16S ribosomal RNA". It matches the Rfam family "Bacterial small subunit ribosomal RNA", at positions 509 to 809 of the family's 1533-position model. The record is from RNAcentral.
CAGCCGCCGCGGUAAAACGAAGGGUGCAAGCGUUAAUCGGAAUUAUUGGGCGUAAAGGGUGCGUAGGCGGUUUCGUAAGUCUGAUGUGAAAUCUAUGGGUUCAACCCAUAGUCUGCAUCGGAAACUGCGAGGCUUGAGAGUGGGAGAGGUGAGUGGAAUUUCCGGUGUGGCGGUGAAAUGCGUAGAUAUCGGAAGGAACACCUGUGGCGAAAGCGGCUCACUGGACCAUUUCUGACGCCGAUGCACGAAAGCUAGGGGAGCAAACAGGAUUAGAUACCCCAGUAGUCCCUGUCUCUUAUAA